AACGAACGCUGGCGGCGUGGAUAAGACAUGCAAGUCGAACGGGAUUUUUUUGUAGCAAUACAGAAAUAAUUCAGUGGCGAACGGGUGCGUAACACGUGGGCAAUCUGCCGAAAAGUGGGGGAUAGCUCGCCGAAAGGCGAAUUAAUACCGCAUGUGGUGAGGGACGACAUCUUCCUGAAUCCAAAGCCGGGGCAACCUGGCGCUUUUUGAGGAGCCCGCGGCCUAUCAGCUAGUUGGCGGGGUAACGGCCCACCAAGGCUAUGACGGGUAGCUGGUCUGAGAGGACGACCAGUCACACUGGAACUGAGACACGGUCCAGACACCUACGGGUGGCAGCAGUCGAGAAUUUUCUCAAUGGGGGAAACCCUGAAGGAGCGACGCCGCGUGGAGGAUGAAGG
RNAcentral lists this ribosomal RNA (398 nucleotides) under uncultured bacterium. RNAcentral describes it as "bacterial SSU rRNA". It matches the Rfam family "Bacterial small subunit ribosomal RNA", at positions 29 to 414 of the family's 1533-position model. The record is from RNAcentral.